RNAcentral lists this ribosomal RNA (448 nucleotides) under uncultured bacterium. Its description in RNAcentral is "bacterial SSU rRNA". It matches the Rfam family "Bacterial small subunit ribosomal RNA", at positions 96 to 562 of the family's 1533-position model. The record is from RNAcentral.
UGGCGGACGGGUGAGUAACGCGUGAGUAACCUGCCGUAUACCGGGGGAUAACAGUUAGAAAUGACUGCUAAUACCGCAUAAGCGCACAGUGCUGCAUGGCACAGUGUGAAAAACUCCGGUGGUAUAUGAUGGACUCGCGUCUGAUUAGUUAGUUGGUGAGGUAACGGCCCACCAAGACAGCGAUCAGUAGCCGACUUGAGAGAGUGAUCGGCCACAUUGGGACUGAGACACGGCCCAAACUCCUACGGGAGGCAGCAGUGGGGAAUAUUGCACAAUGGGGGAAACCCUGAUGCAGCGACGCCGCGUGAGUGAAGAAGUAUUUCGGUAUGUAAAGCUCUAUCAGCAAGGAAGAUAAUGACGGUACUUGACUAAGAAGCCCCGGCUAACUACGUGCCAGCAGCCGCGGUAAUACGUAGGGGGCAAGCGUUAUCCGGAUUUACUGGGUGUA